UUUUUACUAGUGAGUAGAAAAACUUCCUUUUUAUACUUAAUAUAAUCACAGGUCAACUGUACUUUGGAUACCCAGUUAAUCCAUGAAAAAUGAGGGGAUUAGGGUGUCUGACUCCCAUGCAGUCAAAAAUUCAUGUUUUUAACUUUUGGCUCCCCCAAAAUGUAACUACUACUAGCCUAGUGUUGACUAGAAGCAUUACCAAUAACAUAAACAGUUGAUUAAAAAUAUUUUUGCAUAUGUAUUACAUACUGUAUUCUUACAAUAAAGUAAGCUAGAGAAAUGAAAAUAGUAUUAGGAAGGUCAUAAGGAAGAGAAAAUACAUUUGUCCAGUCAUCCUCCAGUACAUCCCUGUACUGUACCUAUUGAAAAACAUGGACAUGUGCAGUUUAAAUCAUUUUGUUUAAGAGCCAACUGUAAUAGAUUUAAAGUUUCUAAACUACAAAAAUAAUUAAAUGAGCAAAUGAUUGGGAAAAAAAUACAUUGCCUUAAUGCUUCUUAGAUCUGUAAAAUCUCCAAAAUCUAGGAUAAUCCUCAGGACAGUAUAAAAUAAAUUAGUUUUAUGGAGAUAUAAACUUCUGAGUUAUUUUGAUAUCUUUUAGAUCUAUGUAGAAAUUAAUCUUCCAUGGACCAAGAAAAAGUCUUACUAAUUAAUCUGACUUGGUGCUCGGUUUCAAAAGAAUUAAAAAAUUACUUUGCUCUUGGUAAAUUUUCAAUGAAGGCUGAGCUUUGCGAUGGCUUGCCUGGGUGGUGAUUGAGUGAAGACACAAGAUUAUUUUUAAUACUUUAUUUUUAUAGUUUUAUUUUUUUGAUCUCAUUAAAUAUUAACUUGCUCUCUAAUUUUUCUUCAAAUAUCCCUCUCUACAUACCACCUUCAUGAAGAAAAGUUCACAAGUAUUUUCUUCUUCAGAGAUUCUUUCUUGAUGUUUCAAGAAGUAUCUUAGGUAUUAAAAAAGCAAAAGCCUUUCAAUAUUUCAAUAUAGUGCUAGAAAUAGGUAUCCAUCAACACCCUAACAUCUUUCAGAUUCUUGGCAACUGAGUGGUCAUAGUGAAUUCAAGUUGUUUCCAUUUGGAAAAACCUCUGAUUGUCUCCUUGUUCCCAUUUCCUUUCUGCAGCACCCUGGCCAGGUUAGGGAGCACACAAGAUUUGGUUGUUCAACUUUCUUUUUGCUUCUUUCUUGAUUUAAUCAAUUGGGAGUUGAGGAAAAGGCAACGUACUUAGUAGCAGUAAUUGCCAUACACUUGGAAACCUUGAUAAAUUUUCCGAAAAGCUCUGGAGUGAAAGAGGGAAUAACCAGCAGAAAACUCUGUGGAGGAUAAGGAUCAUUAAGAAAGAGUGACAAAAGCAGCUAGACUUUCCAGUUCUUUUUAGUAACUUUUUCCAAUGCAACUGCACUUCUCAAAAGGUUCUGGAAAGCCAAGAGUACUUAUUAGAAGACAUUCAGUGGGUCUGGAUGCUUGCUUUUCCCCAUCAGAAUCCUAAUCUAAGGAAAAAUCAUUUAUUCAAUACAUAAUACUGAUUUGCAAAUUUUAAUUAACUGUUUCUACUAUUACUUUAUUGUAUGUAAAAGGAUUUCACCUAAGUCAUGUGAAAAUAGAUUACCAAAAAUUGAUUCCUCAAAAAUCAUUUACAACUAUUUCAUAGGCUAGAAAUGUAAAAGAGACGUGGCAGUUGCAUGUCCCUCUAUCAUCCAUAAUUGAAUUAAAAGACUGAGAUAAUAUUUCCAAUCAGUUCCUUACUGAAACAAUCAUCUUUACAAUUAGAAUACAAUUAUGAUAUCCUUCAGAUCAGUGCUACACAAAAUGUGGUAUGGUAUGUAAAUUAUUUGUUCCAGAGCAAAUAAGAUAAGUUGAGAAAGAGACAAUAGGCAUUAACAUACUUUUAGGGCAAUUUAACAUGACUAGGAUAUUCAAGUAAGUGGUUUUGUGUUUUACGAAAAUAUCAGCUGGUGAUGGGCAUGGAUGCAAAGGAUAAACUGUUCCUAUUAAGAUAGUCUCAAAGCACAGGACUUGAUAAUGAACAGUGUAGUUGCUCAUGACUAGAACACUAAACCACAAAUCUGAACAUGGGUUGCAUUUUUAACUGACAGAAAUGUUGAUAAAAAGAGCAUUGUCUCUAUUAGAAAUAAAAAGUAGUGUUUUGAUAAUCUAAAAAUAUUGACUUUUACAUCAUGUUGAGUUGGGUUAAAACUGGGACAGCUGCAUGGGCUUUUGACCUGUGCAAUUAUGCAGGAUUCUGCUAUCAGAGGGCCCCAUACUUGGUUUAUUGCUCUGUGGUUGCUGCCUUGAAAUUCUUAAUAACUUUAUUUUUGAACUUGUGUAUUUUAAGUGAAAUUCAAUAAUUGUGAUAAGAUAGUGGGCAAUAAGCAGGGGAGAUACAUGCAAGAUGUAUGGCCACCAUUCCUUGCAACUCUGUUUGCAUGUAGCCUUUCUGAUAUCUUCUGGGCACAGAAUCUUGGUGGACCCACAAGGUGUGAGAAUUCAAGGAGACUCAAAGUGAAUUCAAGGUAAAAGUGUUAUGUCUGACUAAAGGAAGGGGGUGAUACUGAUACCACCAAGUGGCCAUGCUUUCCAUGUGAUCAAAAACUUGCUUUGAAUACAGACAGAAGACACUAUUGUUUUAAAAAACACAACGAGGAAUCCUAUCAUACUCCUUAUUCCUGUUACUUCUCUAUUAUCAGCCAACCAUUUACACUACGGAUGACAUAAAAGAAAAGGUACAGAUAGGGCAUCUCAUAGUUUCUUUCCUUUUCAGUUCUUUCUUAUUCAUGAAUAAACUGAAAGUAGAGCAUUGGUCGAAUGUCUAUAUGUAUCAAGAAGUAAAAUAAAAACACUUGAAAUAAUUUUUCAUAGAAUUUCCAUUGUUCUAUUUUAACAGUGGAAUAUAUAUAUACAUAUAUGAAAGGAUGAGCUAUGAAAUAUGACUUAUAAUUUAUAAUUUUGGGUGAUUUUACAUACUAAUUAAAUGUUCUGAUAUUUACAUUGGGACAGGCAUUACCUAAUAUAAAGAUGAAUAGUAAAACUUAUGCUGAUAAUUUAAAAUUUUAAUUUUCUUUCCUUAGAACAACAGUAAAUAGCAAAUAAUAAACAGCAUGACAUGUUGAGAGAGAGUGUGCAGGAAAAGGAAAAGCCUUUAAUGGUACAUUUUUUUCCUGCUUUUUUGAGUAAGAGCCUCCACAUUUUUAUUUUGCACUGGGUCCCACAAAUUAUGUAGAUGACCCAAUUAAACAUGAUGUGCAAUGCUUAAAUUGGUGCCAUUUGCCAUUAUCCAGCCUAUAUGGUCAUAUAAGUUUAAGGAUAAUUACUUAAGGAUUAAAUUGGUGCCAUUUGCCAUUAUCCAGCCUAUAUGGUCAUAUAAGUUUAAGGAUAAUUACUUCACCAAUAUUGUUUAAGGAUAAUUAAACAAUAUUGUUAAUUACUUAUUGAUAUUGAUAAUUACUUAAUAUUGCCAUUAAUGCCAUAAUUUGCCAUUAUCCAGCCUAUAUGGUCAUAUAAGUUUAAGGAUAAUUACUUCACCAAUAUUGAACAGGCUUCAACUAUGGAGUUUCCUAAAACCCUUAAUAGGCCAAUGUACAUGCCCUACAGGGGGCAUGAGGUAUGCUACACAUCCUUCCUCAUUUGAGUCCUGGGCCCUUUCUCAAUAUUUCCAGAGAUAGAUAUUUCUCUGGACAUAUUGGGCAAUUCUGCAUCGAUCACUCAUUAGCUCUGUAAGUCACUUAACCUCUUUGAAUAUCAGUUUCUCCUGCAAAUGGAAUGCCUAACUUCGUAUUUGCUGUAAAGAUAAAAUCUUCUAACAUGUGCCAAAUACCCAGUAGGUUUUUAAUUUUAUUACUAUAUUUUCCCAUGUUCAUCAUUGUUCUAGUGGGAGCAAUAUAGUUAGGUUUACACCAUAAAUCCUUUUCUAAAAAUUUUUGGCAAUCUUGUUCACUAUGGAGUAACCAAAAGAAAACAUUGAAUAUUUCAUAGGAAUAGAGAUCAUUAUUCAAAAUUGCCUGCAUGUAUUAAGGGCUUAAUAAACAUGAUAGAAAUGAAUGAAUAAAACAAUCAUAAAGCAAAAUAAAAAGUAUCUCAAGGACAGACUGGAUUCAGACCGUGGCUUCUUCUAUUAAGCAAAUUACUUUCUCUCUCAUUUUCCUCAUUGUAAAAAUGCAAGAUGGAAUUAUUGUAAGGAGUAAAUGUUAUAGUAUUUCCAUAUAGUGCCUGGUGUAUAAUAACUGUUCAGUCUAUGUUCGCUAUGCCAAUAUGUUGAGAAUUUUACCCUUCCUCCAAGAUUCUACUAUAACCCAUGUCUCUGGUUCUCUCUUUUCUGUGAAUGAAAAUAGAGAGAUACUCAAAGAAUUCAUAACCCAAAGGAAAUAAUAAAAAUAAAUGUAACAGAAAUUAAAGAAAAAUUCAAAACAAUUUUCUAAUUCAUGUUUCUCACUCCAAAACUUGAAAAAGUUGGAGCCAGUGUCUGGUAGAUCUCCUGCUUAUUUACACUGUAUCACAAAUGGACAAGUAUUAAAAUUCCUUCCUUUUCAAAUUUUAUUUCUGAUGUUUCCCUUGGGUGUUGACUUUGAAAUAGAAUGGCCUUAUAUGAGACAUGGAGGAAAUAAGAAGGUACUGUUUACUGACUUACUGAUAGGACUAAAAUAUGACUCCUUUAUUAGACUGGGUUACAUAAGUUGAACAUAAAUGUUUUUAAGAUGCAGUUUAAAUACUGAAUUUUAUCAGUGAGUAGCAUGUGUCUUGGUAUAUAGGUGACUGGCUUCCCAGGAGACUGGAUGUUACUACUAGCUUGUGUAAUCCUCAGAAAGAUGCUAGAGAAUAGAGAAGCCUGGGAACUAAGGGUUCCAAAGAACAGUAAUGAGAAGGCUGGUAAAGAAGAUAUUAUUUUCUUUUCUUUUUUUAAAUUUUUUAUUUAUGAUAGUCACACAGAGAGAGAGAGGCAGAGACAUAGGCAGAGGGAGAAGCAGGCUCCAUGCACCGAAAGCCCGACGUGGGAUUCGAUCCCAGGUCUC
RNAcentral lists this long non-coding RNA (4997 nucleotides) under Canis lupus familiaris (dog). RNAcentral describes it as "lncRNA (ENSCAFG00845008411.1)". The record is from RNAcentral. Lineage: Eukaryota; Metazoa; Chordata; Mammalia; Carnivora; Canidae.